AAUUCGCCCUUAGUUUGAUCCUGGCUCAGGACGAACGCUGGCGGCACGCUUAACACAUGCAAGUCGAACGAGAGAAGAGAAGCUUGCUUUUCUGAUCUAGUGGCGGACGGGUGAGUAACACGUGAGCAAUCUGCCUUUCAGAGGGGGAUACCGAUUGGAAACGAUCGUUAAUACCGCAUAACAUAAUUGAACCGCAUGAUUUGAUUAUCAAAGAUUUAUCGCUGAAAGAUGAGCUCGCGUCUGAUUAGCUAGUUGGUAAGGUAACGGCUUACCAAGGCGACGAUCAGUAGCCGGACUGAGAGGUUGAUCGGCCACAUUGGGACUGAGACACGGCCCAGACUCCUACGGGAGGCAGCAGUGGGGAAUAUUGCACAAUGGAGGAAACUCUGAUGCAGCGAUGCCGCGUGAGGGAAGAAGGUUUUAGGAUUGUAAACCUCUGUCUUUGGGGACGAAAAAUGACGGUACCCAAGGAGGAAGCUCCGGCUAACUACGUGCCAGCAGCCGCGGUAAUACGUAGGGAGCGAGCGUUGUCCGGAAUUACUGGGUGUAAAGGGAGCGUAGGCGGGAUCGCAAGUCAGAUGUGAAAACUAUGGGCUUAACCCAUAAACUGCAUUUGAAACUGUGGUUCUUGAGUGAAGUAGAGGUAAGCGGAAUUCCUAGUGUAGCGGUGAAAUGCGUAGAUAUUAGGAGGAACAUCAGUGGCGAAGGCGGCUUACUGGGCUUUAACUGACGCUGAGGCUCGAAAGCGUGGGGAGCAAACAGGAUUAGAUACCCUGGUAGUCCACGCCGUAAACGAUGAUUACUAGGUGUGGGGGGACUGACCCCUUCCGUGCCGCAGCAAACGCAAUAAGUAAUCCACCUGGGGAGUACGACCGCAAGGUUGAAACUCAAAGGAAUUGACGGGGGCCCGCACAAGCAGUGGAGUAUGUGGAUUAAUUCGAAGCAACGCGAAGAACCUUACCAGGUCUUGACAUCGUAUGCAUAGCUCAGAGAUGAGUGAAAUCUCUUCGGAGACAUAUAGACAGGUGGUGCAUGGUUGUCGUCAGCUCGUGUCGUGAGAUGUUGGGUUAAGUCCCGCAACGAGCGCAACCCUUACUGUUAGUUGCUACGCAAGAGCACUCUAGCAGGACUGCCGUUGACAAAACGGAGGAAGGUGGGGAUGACGUCAAAUCAUCAUGCCCCUUAUGACCUGGGCCUCACACGUACUACAAUGGCUGUCAACAGAGGGAUGCAAAGCCGCGAGGUGGAGCGAACCCCUAAAAGCAGUCUUAGUUCGGAUUGUAGGCUGCAACCCGCCUACAUGAAGUCGGAAUUGCUAGUAAUCGCAGAUCAGCAUGCUGCGGUGAAUACGUUCCCGGGCCUUGCACUCACAGCCCGUCA
Molecule: ribosomal RNA, 1380 nt
Filed under: uncultured bacterium
Lineage: Bacteria
Description: bacterial SSU rRNA
Rfam family: Bacterial small subunit ribosomal RNA
Source: RNAcentral